CUCACACUGUUAAGGAGAGAACAUGGUGUCACAUACUGAAAAUGCAUCAGGGAAAAUGUUGGUUAAAUAUGAGGAACAGCUCUGCAAAGCUAAGCUGUGAUAGGUCAGAAAAGGAGUUGCCAAGGCAAGCAGGAAAGACAGUGAGAGGAGAGCGGACGAAUGGAGAGAAGCCUCUGACAAACAUCUCGGCUGCCUGAUGCUUAAUCUGAUCCUCCAGGACACCCUGCCUCUGAGAGAUUUUCUAGGUGGAUGAGCAAGAAAUCAGACUAAUCACUUCAAGUUUCACAUCUACCUGGGACUACAGACCUGUGUAGGGAAGAAACCUGCCCUUCUUUAACCUCACCCUAAUUCAUCCGUGAGCCUCUGCUGUGAGGAACCAUUGCUACUGGGACAGUGACGGUGAUGAUUCCUUCUUCAGCCUUUCUUCAUGGGAUAAAAAACAAAAUCAAAAUAUCUGAAGCCCAUGAAAGCACAAAGGCAAAACAUUCUCACUUUAAAAGUUAUGGGUCUUGCUACGUAGUGCAGGAUGGCCUUGAACUCCC
Chinchilla lanigera (long-tailed chinchilla) is the source of this 542-nucleotide long non-coding RNA. RefSeq lists it as uncharacterized. The transcript is spliced from 3 exons. The record is from RefSeq and is a predicted model, not a curated record. Lineage: Eukaryota; Metazoa; Chordata; Mammalia; Rodentia; Chinchillidae.